RNAcentral lists this ribosomal RNA (611 nucleotides) under uncultured bacterium. RNAcentral's name for it is "bacterial SSU rRNA". The stretch from base 1 to 534 matches the Rfam family "Bacterial small subunit ribosomal RNA", at positions 338 to 873 of the family's 1533-position model. The record is from RNAcentral.
CCUACGGGAGGCAGCAGUGAGGAAUAUUGGACAAUGGGCGCAAGCCUGAUCCAGCCAUGCCGCGUGCAGGAAGACGGUCCUAUGGAUUGUAAACUGCUUUUGUACAGGAAGAAACACUCCCUCGUGAGGGAGCUUGACGGUACUGUAAGAAUAAGGAUCGGCUAACUCCGUGCCAGCAGCCGCGGUAAUACGGAGGAUCCAAGCGUUAUCCGGAAUCAUUGGGUUAAAGGGUCCGUAGGCGGUUUAAUAAGUCAGUGGUGAAAUCUGGUCGCUCAAACGAUCAAAACGGCCAUUGAUACUGUUAGACUUGAAUUAUUAGGAAGUAACUAGAAUAUGUAGUGUAGCGGUGAAAUGCUUAGAUAUUACAUGGAAUACCAAUUGCGAAGGCAGGUUACUACUAAUGGAUUGACGCUGAUGGACGAAAGCGUGGGGAGCGAACAGGAUUAGAUAACCCUGGUAGUCCACGCCGUAAACGAUGGAUACUAGACUNUUCGGAGCAAUCUGAGUGCUAAGCGAAAGUGAUAAGUAUCCACCUGGGGANACGUUCGCAAGAAGAGAAAGUAAAGUAAAGUAGAGACGNGAGAGAGACGAGAGACGACGAGGAGGAGGAG